CCUACGGGAGGCAGCAGUGAGGAAUAUUGGUCAAUGGGCGCGCGCCUGAACCAGCCAAGUAGCGUGAAGGAUGACUGCCCUACGGGUUGUAAACUUCUUUUAUCAAGGAAUAAAGUGAGGCACGUGUGCCUUUUUGUAUGUACUUUAUGAAUAAGGAUCGGCUAACUCCGUUCCAGCAGCCGCGGUAAUACGGAGGAUACGAGCGUUAUCCGGAUUUCUUGGGGUUAAAGGGAGCGUAGAUGGGUUGUUAAGUCAGUUGUGAAAGUUUGAGGCUCAACCGUAAAAUUGCAAUUGAUACUGGCAUUCUUGAGUACAGUUGAGGUAGGCGGAAUUCGUGGUGUAGCGGUGAAAUGCUUAGAUAUCACGAAGAACUCCGAUUGCGAAGGCAGCUUACUAAACUGCCACUGACAUUGAUGCUCGAAAGUGUGGGUAUCAAACAGGAUUAGAUACCCUUGUAGUC
This 460-nucleotide ribosomal RNA is filed under the name uncultured bacterium. Its description in RNAcentral is "partial 16S ribosomal RNA". It matches the Rfam family "Bacterial small subunit ribosomal RNA", at positions 338 to 795 of the family's 1533-position model. The record is from RNAcentral.